GAUGAACGCUGGCGGCGUGCCUAAUACAUGCAAGUCGAGCGAAUGGAUUAAGAGCCUGCUCUUAUGAAGUUAGCGGCGGACGGGUGAGUAACACGUGGGUAACCUGCCCAUAAGACUGGGAUAACUCCGGGAAACCGGGGCUAAUACCGGAUAACAUUUUGAACCGCGUGGUUCGAAAUUGAAAGGCGGCUUCGGCUGUCACUUAUGGAUGGACCCGCGUCGCAUUAGCUAGUUGGUGAGGUAACGGCUCACCAAGGCAACGAUGCGUAGCCGACCUGAGAGGGUGAUCGGCCACACUGGGACUGAGACACGGCCCAGACUCCUACGGGAGGCAGCAGUAGGGAACCUUCCGCAAUGGACGAAAGUCUGACGGAGCAACGCCGCGUGAGUGAUGAAGGCUUUCGGGUCGUAAAACUCUGUUGUUAGGGAAGAACAAGUGCUAGUUGAAUAAGCUGGCACCUUGACGGUACCUAACCAGAAAGCCACGGCUAACUACGUGCCAGUCGCCGCCGUAA
Molecule: ribosomal RNA, 515 nt
Filed under: uncultured bacterium
Lineage: Bacteria
Description: partial 16S ribosomal RNA
Rfam family: Bacterial small subunit ribosomal RNA
Source: RNAcentral